RNAcentral lists this long non-coding RNA (16516 nucleotides) under Solanum tuberosum (potato). Its description in RNAcentral is "long non-coding RNA (STUB_LNC003657)". Lineage: Eukaryota; Viridiplantae; Streptophyta; Magnoliopsida; Solanales; Solanaceae. The record is from RNAcentral.
CUCAUGCUUCCUUUUCUUCGUCCUUUCAACUGCCUUGUUCCUUUUUGCUCAAUAGUGUCCAUGCUUUGUUUCUCAAUCCAAAUACCUGAAAUUUAAGGUUUUACAUCAGUUAUUGGCAUAAAAUAUGCAUUUGAGAACACUAAAUCUAUUAAAAUAAAGCCCUAAAUGAGUCCAAAUCAUGGACUCAUCAUGCAGAUACAGGUAUUCAGGGUCAUCAACAGGAACUUUGUUGAUACCACAUAGAGUUCGAGUUAUCUAUGGUGAGCCUCCUUGAUUUCAGAGGGUUCCACUUUUACUUUCAGUUAUAUCAGUUGUUAUGAGGUCGUGGGUCUUGUCCCGACUUCCAUCUUUAUCAUUUAGAGGCUUCACAGAUAGACUGUAGAGUUUCAGAAGUCUGUUCAUUUCUUUUAUUAAAUGUUUUAAAGACUUAAGUUGUAUAUUUUAUGGCGAGUUGAAUAAUUUAUUUUUAUUCAGAGUUUUUCAUUUGAGUUAAAGCUUUGUAAUUGAGUUUCAUGAUUUUUAUUCAGUUUUUAAGCUUUGUAUGCUUGAGUUAGUCUUCGUUUGUAGUCAGCUAGGAUGAGGGUUCGCUUAGGGACCAGUAAUGGUUCUCGAGUGUCGGUCACGUCCAGGGUGUAGGCUUGGGUCCUGACAAACUUACUUUCAGAGUACAGAGUUCAAGAGUCCUAGGGUGUCUAUUUAGUUGUGUCAGUCGGGUCUUGUUUAUGGUUGUGAGGGCCUUACUUCUAUUUUCUUUGUGGUUGAUGCGGUUAAAUCAACUAGUAGAAGGAAGGUGGCACAGUUAAUCAACUGAAUCCGUGCUUAGAAAGAAUAACUUUGAAGCCACGUUUAGGGUUUUUCCUUACCUUAGCUGAGCCUUAUGUCCCUUCAGUAUUCCUAUUCAUAUUGCCUUGUCUUGGGCACCGCAGUGGACUUAUUAUCCUAUAUAUAAUAUCUACUCUAAAGAUUAAGAGGAUAGAGGGUCUCCCUUCCAUAGAUUCGAUUGGGAUUAAUUUUCAGGAUCGAGCACUUAUCAGAGGCGUGCCUACCGACACCUGUCAAAGUGUUCGACUUGCACGACGUCUCCUUCCAUUUGCUCCAGCUAUGAAAGAAACGAAUGGGCGCAACACUUUAUUCUCUUCGACCGCUCUUUACGAGGGACUACAGACAUUUAAGAAAAGUUUCCCUUUUUUCAUACUCUUAAUAGUGCAAUAGAGCUAAGUCAUUGAGAUUUAUUCAUACUUGUGCGUUUCUCAGAUUCAUUCGACUACCCAUCAUACUAGAGGUAGUUGAAAAGUAAAGUGUAAAGAUCCUUAUGGAUGAGUUUUCUUAGCAAGAGUCUUGAGAAAGUCAUGAGACUCCAGAGGGGCUUGAGAGAAGCCCAAAAGUAAGUUAAGUGUUGAGUUCAAUAAAAUGCACUCAUAUUCAUAUGAAUCGUGCCUUUGAGCUAAAAACGAGUUGUUCUCUUUUCCUUAAGCCUUGUUUUCAGCUGAGAUCCUUAUGAGGAGGUAUGUUUAGAGCUUGGGAAAUAUUUCCACCCCAAAAGGUAGUAUGAGUUACGAGAUCAUGAGCAGUAGUAGAGAAAGAGCCCAGAGUUAGAGGAAAGUAUGUAGAGUUUUAGUGAUUUAAGAAAGGGAGAUAGUGUUUUGAAGAGCUAUGUUAUUAUAGUCAUGCACCCAGUAGGUUAUUGAUGAUGAGUUUUCCCUUAUGGGUAGAGUAAGAGUUUCUAGUCAAGAUGAGAUAGAGUAUAUAUACAUUUUAACUAGAAUAGAGUUGAUGUCAAUGUGUCAUCCUGUUAGAGAAGACUAAAUUCAUGUGUUGAAUAAGAGAGCGGAGUAUUUAUGAAGUGAUUGAUCUAAGCUAGGCUUAUGAUUUGUUUGAGAGGGUUAUGAUGUUCAGAAGGAUAUAGAACUGAUCAAGUAAUGAGGUAUAGUAUAGUAGGUGAGCAAUCAUAUUGAUAUUCAGGUUUAGUUAUAGACAUUAAGCUUGAAUUUGAGAUGAGUGUCAUGAUCAAAAGAAUGGCAACAUGAGGGUGAUGAUGUUAGUAUUGAGAUUUGAUCUAGUAGACUUGACAUAGAGUAGGUGAGGAAUUGAGAUGGUUGCUACAAUGAAUGUGAGUAGUACAAGUGAGAGACCCUAACCUUUAGAUAAGGGCGGUGAAGUGUGGCUAAGUCACAAGAGUAACGAGAAGCAUUAAGAGGUGUACUGAGAGGGUGCGUAAUCAAAAGAGGUUAAGAGAAACACCUUAGAAAGAGGUCAUAGUACCUGUCUAUUGAGAGUUCGGUAGUCAUGAAAUAACCUUCUCCUGAGUGUUAGAGUAAAAGAAGAUGUAGACCAAUUUAGAGUUGAUGGAAUAGGUCCAUAGCUUUCAAGUGUCAGCUUUAGACCUAAGGGGAAGAUGACAAGAUGAGAAAUCAAGUCAAGUUAUUAAGAGUAAGAUAGUAAUGAGUUCCGAAGAGUUUGGGGGAUAUCUUUUUAGAGGUUCUUUUAGUAGUGGAGUGCUGUUAAAAAGAGAAAGUUAAUGAUCUUAUCGUGGUAGUGAUGGUGCGUUUAUUCCGUCUAAGUUUAUUAAUGAGGAGGAAUAAAAAGAUGAGGUUUCCUAUGAGAAAUAGUUAAAUGGGAGACCUUAGUUGGUUUCGAAUAGUAAUGCGGACAAUUCUAGUUAUUAUGGCAGAAAUGAUAAGAGUAACCCCGUCUCAUACCCAGUCCAGCCGUCAUUCGAGGACAAAUGAUUCCAAGGGGGAAUAUUGUAACACCUCACUUUUAGAAAGAACUAGAAAGACUUAUAAUUGGGAAUAACCCGUUUUUGGAAAUAAUCAAAUUUGGAAAGUUUGACAAAGUUAAGCUAAGUAUGAGUUUUGGGUCGACUUCAAACAACCAUAAAUCCUAGAUCAGGAUGAUUUAGGUGUGCUACCAGAUACCGAAGGAAAUAUCUUUGAAUUAUCUUUCCAACUCCACCAAGUUUGAUCAGUUUCAAGUUCGUAUGAGGGAGAUAUGUCCAUUCGAAGUUGGGCUAUCUAGAUAAGGAAAGUCAAAACCGUAUUUAGAAGGGUAUUAUGGUCUUUUCACUACCCAAUUAAUUAAAUUCAUUUUUGGUAAUUAAGUUGGGGACAAACUAAUUGGAUUCAGUUUACGCUUCAUAAAAAUACGUUAGGGUUUUGAGAGAAGAGAAAAGAAUAGGAGAAAGAGGAGAGGAUCAAGGCGUUCGUCGAGGUUCUUGCAUUUUAUUGCAGAUUUUUGCCAUGGGUUUAAUCCCUAAGAGGUAUGUAAGCUUCCAUAGUGUUAGGUCUGUUCACCCAUAUGCCAAUCAUGUUAUUUUCAAUGAAAUUUCAUUCUUGAAGCUGAAAGAUUAGAGUUCUUGAUGAGUUCUUGAGAAGUGUUCUUGAAGUUCAUCCUAAAUCUUGUUGUGUUGGGGUUUUUGAUGAUUUCUUGAAAUGGAAGUGAGUGUUUUGAGGGCUGUAUUGAGUAGAUUAGAGUGUACUUAUGUUAAGUAAUUGAAUCCAAGUGAUUGGGGAAGAAAUCGUUCGAUUCUAGGUGAGUUAGGGUGAGAAAACCAGCAAGGAAAUUCGUUGGGUUUAUUGGGUUGGGGCUUGGCGCGUCAUGCCAGCCAGUGAGCCCUAUAUUAUUCGCUGAAGUUUAGGGGCUGGUGCCCCGCACCACUCAGUGCGCCAUGGUCGCAUGCCCCGUCCAGUUUGCAACCUACAAAUCAUUCAUUGCAUGAUCAUAACCUUGAAUUCAUAAUUCAAAUUCAAGGUAGAGUUAAGAGUUAAGUUUUGAGAAUUCUUUCGGACAUUCUAAGAAAAAUCCCUUUUGAGUCCUUUUGUGGAGUCUUCUACAACUUCUAGUAACUUGUUUUAAGACUCGAGCAAUUGAGUAUGAGAAUGUAUUCAUGAGUCUACUUUAUCAUCACGAUAUCCUUCAUAUCAUGAAACAUAACUCUUGAAUUCAUAAUUCAUAUUCAAGAGCGAGUUAAGAGUAGAGUUCAAGAAAAACUUUGAGUUCAAUUAUGAAUCCUUUGAGAUCAACUAUCGAUUUGAGCUAAGGUUUGAUGAAGUAAGUAUAAGAAUGAGAAUAGUCGGAUACAUGAGUUCCAUAUUGUUAUGUAGACCCUUGAGUCGAGUCGUUCAUGCCCAUAAAUUCCGCAUGAACUUCAUAAAUUGAGUACCUUUGAGAGGAAUAGUAUAUUCAAGUUCUAAGUCUUGAGUAUUGAGUUCCUAACCCUUUUAAGAUUAUAUUCCUAAUAUGUCACGACCCAAGGGUACCCCCUAGAUGUAACACGACGUACUCGACUCCAAAAGGGGUGUCAUACAAGCCCUUAGCAUAUCAUAACGUAAGAUAAAUAGAAAUGAUGCGGAAUUAAAACUUUUUCCAAUCGAAGUCUUUUCAUAAAAUCCAUUGGAUGUCUAGACAUUGUCUCAAUAACCAUCUAAUGCAAUCGAGUAUCAAUAAGGGUCACAGCCCUUUACAACAUAGUCUCAAAAGCGAAAGUAAGAAAGAAACUAUAAAUGAACAACUCUCAUCCUCGAACCAUGAAGACUCACCAAAAGUGUGGAAAGAAUCAAUCCAAGCUUUGAACAAUAAGAGAAGCACACCUCAACAACCGAGCCCUACACUUAUAGAAAAAUGUAGAAAAUAUGGGUUAGUACAAAAUUACACUAAGUAUGGAAGUCAUGCAUAAAAAUCCUUAAAACAUGCAAAAGGGGACAGUUUAGUUGAAACCAUGCACUUUAUCAACUUUAAGAGUCAUCAUGCACAUUAGUGUAAAUACAUUAGUCAAACCAUCUCAUAAGAAACCCUAAGUUAUACUUGUGCAAUGCAUAGAUAAGAUCCCAUAAUCCUAUCUAAUAUUAAGUACCACUUUUAGGUCACCAUGUUCAUGCAUAUCAUACCUUGACCUCAUCCAUAGCCAACACUCAUAAACAAGUAAACAUUCAUGCUCAUAGCUUGUAACAAGGAAAGCCACCCAUAGCAACAAUCCAUAUUAUACAUGCAUAAAUUCAUAUAUCUUCAUAGCAUCAGAAAACCACACCAUAACCUACUUUCAAGCCUACUUGUGCAAUGCAUGAAUGAAGUCACAUACCCCCACUCACACUAAGUAGAGCUCCUUGAGAAGUCAUAAGUAUAGUUCAUGUUCAUGUUCAUGUUCUUGUCAUAAUUCAUAUUUUUGUCAUGUUCGGAAAUAGCCUUAAUCGACAUAGACCAUGUGAACUACAUGGAAUCCGGUGUACUUCCCCACACCGAAAAGAGGUAUCCUACUUGCCUAAGGUAGAACUAGUUUGUUAGCUUAGGUGGAUCCACUAGCUAAAGACCUAUGUGGGCACAUAGUUACUGGAUAAAGAGAUUGCUACUAGUAACUCGGACUAACUAAGGUAAAAGGUUUCCAUCUCAUGAGAUAAUUGUUUUGGGAACCCGGACUGGUUGGCGUAAAAGGAACCCAGUUAGAAAGCCGGACUAACUGACGUAAAAGCUUUCAUCUCAUUUUUAUAUCCACUCGGUGCUAAGCAUAAUUCCCUUUAAAUUCAUGUUAAGUCUUUACUUAAGUUCAUGUUCAUGAAAGAAUGUCAUAGCACUCAAACCAACAUGGUAUCAUGAUAGCUCAUAGAUUCAUUAGGUGAGAAUAACAUUUCAACCUUAAAAUCAUUAAUAUGUGAGUAAACCUUUCACAUCAUGUUCAUAGUGUGUUCAUGAGAAUAGUCUUUCAAUCAACACAAUAAUAUUAUCAUAGUCAUAGACAUUUCAUGCAUAAUCAUGUGUAAGGGCAUAGGGAUAAUGAACUUUCAACAAUACCACAAUUACACCAUAGUCAUAGGAUCUUCACUCUCUAAGUGAAUCAUGAGCUCAUACACAAUUUCUCAUAAACAUGUACAAUUCUCAUAAUUUUCCCUUCAAGGACCAUGAAUCACAUUCAACCCAAACAUCUAGAAUUUCUACAUUAGAUAUGGGAGUAUAUCAUGAUUCAAUAAACUCAAUCAAUAUAGACAUAAUAUAUUCACAUGCUUCUAUAAUCAAUCAACCCACAUCAUGAAAUCACAAUUUAGUAAUAUGGGGAAUUCAUAGGGUUCUUGGGGGGCUUUCGAUCAUAAAUCAACAAUAAAUCAUCAAUUCAAUCAUAAUCCAUCCUAAAUCAACCAUUGAAAACGUUUUAGAAAGGAACUCGUGACUUAGAGUGAAACCCUAGCUUUUGGGGAAAUUGAAAGCUUUGAAAUCUAGUUUUGAAGGGACUCUAUGGGUAAAAGCUACCCAUAGAUGAAAAUACAUCAUACCUUGAUAAAGAAUCUCCAAAGAAUUUGAGGAGGAAGACUUUAUUUAUUCAAACCAUAGCUCCAACUCUACUCUUCUUCUUCUUUGAGUUUUAGAGAGAGAAAUAUUGUGAGGAAGAUGAACUUUUGGUUUGUAUUUGGGUGUUUGUGAAAAAUGACUUAGUUUAGGGAAUUUUGACUUAAAAACAACUUAUUACUGAGUUGAAUAUCUUAUCCUUGAGUACUUCUGUGUUGAGUAAGUUUGAGUUAGUUUUGAGUAUCCUUGAAGUUAAGUUUGAAAAGAGGUAAGUAUGUUUCUUUUUUAUCAAGUUCAAGCUUAUGUUAUGCUUUAGAAUUUCCCUUACAUGCUUGUACAUUCCACGUACUGAGUCAUUUGACCUGCAUCAUUUCAUGAUGCAGAUACAGGUAUUCAGGGUCAUCAACAGGAGUUUCGUUGAUACCACAUGGAGUUCGAGUUAGCUAUGGUGAGCCUCAUUGCUUCCGGAGGGUUCCACUUUUACUUUCAGUUAUAUCAGUUGUUAGGAAGUCGUGGGUCUUGUCCCGACUUCCAUCUUUGUCAUUUAGAGGCUUCAUAGAUAGACUGUAGAGUUUCAGAAGUCCGUUCAUUUAUUUUAUUAAAUGUUUUAAAGACUUAAGUUGCAUAUUUUAUGGCGAGUUGAAAAAUUUAUUUGUAUUCAGAGUUUUUCAUUUGAGUUAAAUAUUUGUAAUUGAGUUUCAUGAAUUUUUAUUCAGUUUUUAAGCUUUGUAGUUAGUCUUCCGCUUGUAGUCAGUCAGGAUGAGGGUUCACUUGGAGACCAGUAAUGAUUCUCGAGUGCCGACCACGUCCAGGGUGUAGGCUCAGGUCAUGACAAUAUUUUUGUGAAUAUUUUGAAUCAAAUAAAGAGAAGAAGAUAAAAACAAUUUUUUUUUAAAGAAAAAAAAACGGAUGACAAUAAAGGUAAAUGGAAGGUUAUUAGGAAGACAUUAAUAGUGGAGUAAUAAUGGGGAGAGAGAAAGUGUACUGCAGCUAUUUUUCUAAAUUAAAUGAGAAAAAUAUUUAAAAUUUUGCAAAAAAAAAAAGAUAAAUAGGGAUCCUAUAUAUAUAUAUAUAUAUAUUAUUCUUAUUGGGUGUGUGCCAAAAUUUGUAGACGAUAAAAUUUGCGUCGAGAAAACAAUAAUCAAGAACGGAAAAAUAUCAGAACAAUCGUAUUUAUUAUUUCAGAGUGCGAGUGUUACAAUCUCUAUGAUUCCUCUGAAAUCGCCUUUUCAAAUAUAAAUUUAAGGGUUCUUGAGCUUGAUCUUGAAUUUAUCUUGAACUUGAUCUUGGAAUCAAGGACUUUAAAGCUUAUUCGUGAUUCUUCAAUGAACUUGAACUCUGAACUUUAUCUUGAUCUUGACUUAUACUUGAAUUCAAAGGCUUCAAGCUUGUUCUUGAAUCUGAUAAUCUUGAUUUUGACCGUUCUUGAACAUGAAUCCUUGAAUUCUUAAACUUGUAGCUUAUAGAGAAUUUUAUGGCAUUUGUACCACGGAUUUUCUCUAGCUUCUUGUUUAGAAAUUUUGGUCCAUUUUAUGAAUUAUGAGAACCCCUAUUUAUAGUUUUAGAAGAGAAAAGUUGUGAUUGGAACAUGAUUUCCUUUGGCCAAUCAGAUUUAAGUGACAUGACAUAUGGGCUUUAUGGAGCGGACUUGUCAUUUUUGACACAUGUCAUGAUCCUAUUGGCUUCUUGUUUGACUUGGCAUGCCACGUUAUUUGCCACGUGGCACCAAAAUACGCCUCUAGAAUGAGAUGAAAUUGGGCUCAUCUAUUGUAGCUCAAAUCAAUUAAUUUGGACUAAUUAAAUUCAUAUUCAUUGGAUUUAAAUAAUUAACCCAAUUAUAUUAUUUAAUAAUAUUUAUUUGGACUAAUAUAUUCAUGAAUUUAAUAUAAUCCGAAUCAUUUUAUAAAUUUAUAUUUAAUAAAUUUUAAAUGAUUGCAAUUUGUAGACAUUGAAAUUUUAUUGGACUCUACAAGACGUGUUCAAUUCGAAUUGUGUUCAGUUUCAAUUAGAAUUCUUGGAGGCUACCAACCCUAAACCCUAGUUCAUACCUAUAAAAAGGGUACUGAAUUUCCUUAAAAGGCAUCUUUAUUAUUCCGCAAAUUCAUGGAAUAUUCAUAUAGAGGUCAAAUCUAAAUCAUUGCUAUUCAAAAAAUACGCCACUAACGGCUCUCGAAUCAUGGAAAAAUAUUAGGAGAGUAGAAUUAAGGGAGGAAUAGAAUUGUACCCGCACUAUUAGAAAUAAAAUAUUCAUGUUUCUUCAGAUUUUAUUUGUAUGGUUGAUUUAUUUCCAUAUGUUUAAAAUUUGUUGCAAACAAAUUGGCACGCCCAGUGGGACAAUCUCUACCUCUCAUCUCAACUUUUCAAGCAUCAAAGAAUAUCGAGAUGACUUCCAUGAAGAACAACUCUCAAUCAAAUGCCUCUAAGGCAACUAGCUCCAAAUUAUCUACUGAAGUUGAAGGAAUUCUUGGUGUUACCUUUGGAAGUUUCGAAGUUGUUACGAGGAGCAAGGUUGCUAUGCUAGGACAACAAACACUUCAAGUGUCGUCCGCGUUAACUCCAGUUUUUGGGUCUGCGACUUCAAAAAGAUCAAGUUCCUCCACAAAUUCUUCAGAAGGAGGAAUCAGCGUUGUUGAAAAGAUCAAGAAAACCUUAACUCUACUUAAGCAAUCUGGUUCCAAGAACUCUACUACAAGGGAGAACUAUGAUUCAACCACUGAAUCAUCUCCACAUGUAUCGCAUAACGUAAGCCUGCUGAAGAUUAACUUACGCGACAAUCCAUUCUACUCUCCUACAUCUCCAAUGAUCAUGCAAACAAUGGUGAAUGUUGCUUCUUCCUCUGAGGAACAACUCGUAGAUCUGAAAAAGUUGGUUGAAGGAUUGACAAAGCAUGUACAACACUAAGAAUCUCAAAUUGAUAAGUUGAUGGAUAGGAUGGAAGGACUUUUAGAUGGAGAACCGAUACAAACGCCUGGAAAGGGUGUUGAAGUUCAAGAGAUCGGACAUCCUGUGAAGAAAGCACCGCUUGUUAAUGAGAUGCAAUUUCUUCUGAAGGAAUGAUCUCACUCGAUCGCUUGAAGGAGCUUAUUGAAGGCACAAUCAAAGAUAAGUAUGAAGUCUCCACCAAGCCUUCUCAUAUGUAUGCCAAGCCAAACACCGUAAGAAUUGAUAACUUUAAAAUGCUUGGUGGUUAUCAACCUCCCAAAUUUCAAAAAUUUGAGGGUAAAGGAAAUCUGAAGCAACAUGUUGCACACUUUGUGGAGACAUGUAAUAAUGCUGGAACAUAUGGAGACCAUCUUGUCAAGUAGUUUGUCCACUCUAUAAAAGGAAAUGUCUUUGAUUGGUACACGGAUCUUGAGCCCAAUUCUAUUGAUAGUUGGGAGCAACUAGAGCACGAGUUUCUCAAUCGCUUCUAUAGCACGAGGCGUACGGUGAGUAUGGUAGAACUCACGAAUACUCACCAAAGGAAGGAUGGACCGGUUAAAAUUUUCAUAAAUCGAUGGAGGAACACGAGCCUAAAUUGCAAGGAUAGGCUUAGUGAAGCUUCUGCAAUAGAAAUGUGUAUCAAGGGAAUGUGUUGGGAGCUUAUUUACAUCUUACAAGGAAUAAAACCAAAAUCCUUUAAAGAUAUAGCCACUCGCGCUCAUGAUAUGGAGUUGAUCAUGUCCUCUGCUGGAAAAGAUAUGACGUUUUUCCAUGAUCCUCGCAAAUGAAGAGACAAGCAGAAACCCAAGAGAUGGAGAAAUUUUGUGCCCAGAAAUGACAACAAAGAAUCUGUGAAUGUUAAGGUGCCGCCUGCGAAGUUCACUAUGAACGAGGGAAUGAAGCAAAAUGCGAGAACGACUUUCCAAGCACGUUCAAAUCAAAAGUCGACACUAAGGGAGAUGCAAGGGAAAAAAUAUCCCUUCUUGGAUUUUGACGUUUCUGAAAUUUUUGAUGAGUUGUGAGUCAUUCUCUUGAAAAAUGUUGUCUAUAAGGAUAGAGUGAUGCGAUUGGUUAACGAAAAGAAAAUUGUCCUUGAUGAUGAGAAGGCUAGUUCUAACCAAAUAUCUAUCACAUUUGGCUCGCUCGAUCCAGUCCAAAUAUAUAUCUCUGAAAGCAUGUAGAAGAGUCAUUGGAGCAAGAAAUUGAUAUAGAUGGUGAUAAAGGCUGGAUUCUUCUGACUAGGCGAAGACGCAACAAGUCAAGCUUACGAAAAGAAUCAUUUGAGCAACCGAUUAGAAGGAAAAUGGUGAGGAAAUUGGAGAAGCAUAAAUCAAUCCAACUCCCAAAAAGGGCAAAGGUAGAAGUGCAUCACUACUAAAAAUCUCGACGUCUUGUGACUCUAGAGAAAUUCUUACCAAGUUCGUUCUGCACAAAGUCUACUCAAGACAAUGUUGAGGAUUAUGUUUCAAUCCUGAUAAAGAAGAAACAAUGAAAGUGCCUCCUACUAACAAAGAAGGAACAACGAGUGAAUCCUCACAAAAAGUAUCUCCUAGUGACGAAGGAAAAGCAACAAGGGAAAUCUCGUCAAUAAUGUCUCCUUCAUCUUUUGAAAAACCAAUUGAACCUUUUUCCCAAGAAGCACAUACAUGUAAUACAAAAAAUCACAUUUACAAAUAAUGUUCUUCUAUUUGGUGAAACACUACACAAUCGUCCCUUGUAUAUGGUGGGUCACGUGCUAGAGAAGAAGAUAAAUAGAAUCUUAAUAGAUGAAGGGUCUGGAGUCAACAUUCUUCCUAUCCACACAUUGAAGAAACUCGGCAUCACGGCUGAAGAACUUAGUGAAAAUUGUUUGUUGAUACAAGAAUUUAAUCAAGGGGGACAGAGGUCCAUAGGCUCUAUUAAAUUAGAAAUUCACAUGGAAGAUUUGCGGUCAAAUGCAUGAAUGCAUGUGAUCGAUGUAAAGACUUCAUAUAAUAUAUUAUUUGGCAGGCCUUGGGUACAUGAGAAUAUAAUUAUCUCAUCUUCUUACUAUCAAUGUUUGAAGUAUCUCAAAGUGGGGAUUGAAAGAAAGAUAGUUGUAGAUGAUAAUCAUUUCACCGAAGUAAAGACACACUUUACCGAUGAAAAAUUCUAUUUUAAGGGUUAUGUUGUUAACCGGGCAAAAUCUAAUGAUGUUAAUCAAUCAAGUGCGAUAAGAUCACAAGAAAAACAAUUGUUGAGGUUGUUGCAAUGGUUGACACUAAAGAACUUUGUCCAUUCUUCAUGAAGGGAAGAUCAUGUCUUCGAAGAAGAAGCUAACUUCUGGACUUUCCUAUGUUCCAAAAGUGAAUAAAGAAAAAGGUCAAUCAUCUAACAUUCAAGAAAAUGCAUUCAUAGGGCUAACUCUUCCUAUCAGACGGAUCAAUGCAAUAAACUUGUCUUCGAAGCUGUCAGGAAUGUCAAUCGCUCAAAAUCAAGUGCGAGAUGUGGCACUCCCUACAAAGCGCACAAGAGAAGGUUUUGAUCUCAAUGCUUACAAGUUAUUUGUGAAGGCUGGAUACAACCCUAAUGAGCCAUCGAUGUUAGGGAAACUCCCAUCAGAAGAUACAACUAGGCAAGCACGUGAAGGCCUAGGCUAUAGUCAACCGCCGCCAAUUUGCAUUUCCAUAAGAAGGGCAAGCAAUAACCAUAUAACUUUUGAAGAUGGCGUCACUACUCCCAAUAAAAAGCCUUCCGUCUUUUAUCGUCUUGGAGAAACAAGAACUUUUGUGUUUGAGAGGUUAGGUCCAUUGAAGAAGAAGAAUAACAAGAAUCUGAGAAGUUAUCUAAAAGUGACAACGCUUGCUUCACCUAUUAUCCAAAAGGAUUUCAAAAGUUUGAUUCUUUCUAGAAAGAGGCGACGAGUGGAACUUGUGGUUUCUUGCAAAGAGGAACUCAAGGCAAAAGUUCACACUAUAGUUUACACUAAGGAGCGUGAGAAAGAUGAAGAAAGUGUAGGCUCCUCAUAUCAUGUUACGAUCCAAAAUGAGCACGGUGUCUUGCCUGAAAUGAAGAUUGAUGAAGAGUUGGAAGAUAUUGUCUAGUGUCGUCAUAUAUCACAAUGAUCCUCUAGAAGAGGAAGAUACUGGAGAUGCUCCACCAGAACUUGAAGAAGGAGUGAAGACCACAAUAGAUCCCUUAAAGGAAGUUAACAUUGGCACUAAUGAAGACCUAAGGCCAACUUAUUUGAGUGCCUUUCUAGAAGUUAAUGAAGAAAUCACUUAUAUGAAUAUACUCAAAGAAUAUAAGGAUGUCUUCUCUUGGAGUUAUAAAGAAAUGUCUGACUUGAAUUCUAAAGUAGCAGUCCAUCAGUUGACAGUAAAAAAUGGUUCUCAUCCUAUUAAACAAGCCCAAAGACGUUUUAGGUCAGACUUGGUUCCAUUGAUAGAAAAUGAAGUUAACAAACUCAUUGAGACAGGCUUUAUUAGUGAGGUCAAAUAUUGUUCAUGUGAGGAAGAAGAAUGGUCAAAUUUGAGUUUGUGUUGACUUCAAAUAUCUCAAUAAUGCAUUCCCUAAAGAUGAGUUCCCUCUUCCCAUUUCAGAAUUGAUGAUUGAUGUCACCACUGGUUAUGAGGCAAUGUCUUUUAUGAAUGGUUCUUCCGGCUAUAAUCAAAUUCGCAUAGCUCCAAAAUAUGAAGAACUCGCUGCAUUUCGCACACCUAAGUGUAUUUAUUUCUACAAAGUGAUGUCAUUUUGUUUAAAGAAUACUGAUGCCACAUAUCAAAGAGCUAUGCAAAAUAUAUUUGAUGACUUGCUUCAUAAAAAUGUUGAAUGCUAUGUUGAUGAUUUCGUGGUAAAUUCAAGGAAGAGGGGUGAUCAUUUGAAAGAUUUAAGAAUGGUGUUUGAAUUGCUCCGUAGAUAUCAACUAAGGAUGAAUCCAUUGAAGUGUGCCUUCGGAGUUACUUCUAGGAAGUUCCUUGGUUUCAUUGUAAGACAUAGAGGAAUUGAAAUUGAUCAAGCCGAAGUUGAUGCCAUUUCAAAGAUGCCCGAGCCUCGAAAUAUUUAUGAGUUAAAAGUCUCCAAGGAAAACUAGCCUAUUUGAGGAGGUUCAUCUCAAAUCUAGAGGGAAGAUGUCAACCAUUCGGUCAUCUCAUGAAGAAAGGUGCCCCAUUUAAUUGGGACCAAACAUGUGUUUACAUCCCUACUUAAUUUGAAUAGGGCGAAACGUCGUGGUAACUCAACAAAUAAUCAAUUAAUUGAAUUUUUAAUGAAUUUUAAGAAUAAACGAAUUUUAAAGAAGUCGCCACCUAAUUUUAGGAAAAACUAAGAAACCAAUUAAAAAUAUCUACGAAACCAAUAGAUUCUAGGUAAGAGGUUUAAGUUAUUUGAAGGGAAGGUGUUAGGCCUCCUUCGAAAUCCACAAUUGUAGAUCCUGACUGAAUUCAUUUUUUUUUUCAAAUUGAGGAGGAGAUAACAAACAAUAUACAAGUGUAAUAAAAUAAAAACAAUAGUAUAAGAAACGGCCUAAGGUUUGCCUAACAUCGUUUUAUACAAAAUAAUGAAUAGAAAAUAUAAUUCAAACUCCUUUCUAAUAAUUUCAAUGGGAAGUAACUCUGGGGUACCUAUAAACACACUUAGUAAAAGUAUUAAUAAUAAAUAAAUAUGAAUAAAAUUGAAUAACUCAAAUAACAACUUUAAAAUAAAAAUAAAAACUUGUCUUAUUAACAUGGAAGGCCUUGAAAAUCGACGGUAAUUUUUUAUCGGCCAAUUCUAACAUAUAACAAAUAUAAACUUAAACUAAAUUUUCGUCUUUUACAAUAUGGAGGCCUCCAAAACUGAUGAAAAGAUUUUCUCAUUGGUCAAUUUUAACUUGUGAUUAAUGCAAAAGCUAACAUAUUAAAAUAAUCAAAAUGAGACCAUGAUAAUUAACGUCAAAUGAGACAAAGUAACAAACUAUAGAUUAAAUUUAAAAUAAUACACAGUGACAAUGUAUCAACGGUGAUGUUAGCAGGAAGUAAAAUUUAGCAGGGAAGAAUAUGAAAAUAAUAAAAUCAAUAUUAAUCAAAAUAAUAUUAAAUUUACUGGACCAUAUGUUCGAUCAAAACAAAAGUCAAUUCAAUAUGAGCUAACAUAGUAACAGGAAUAAACAAUUAAGUUGGGAGAAAAUUAAAAUGAAACCAUAAAAAAAAUAUUAUAAUGAUAACACAAAAAUCAAUGCAAGACUCAAAGAUCAUAGUAUAACGGAAGCCUAUCCAGAUCUAAAAUGUAUGAAACAAAGCAACACUAAGGGUGUGUUUGGUAUAAGGAAAACAUUUUUCGGAAUAUUUUUCAAUUCUCUCAUGUUUGGUUGGGUUAAGUGUUUUGGAAAAUAUUUUUCAAAUCAAUUAAUUUUUCUCAAAUUUAAGAAAAAUGACUUUCUUUCAAAAUUUAAAGAAAAUAUUUUUCAAAACUCUCUUCCAACUUCAAAUUACAAUUUUUUUUUGUUGAAAAAAUCAAUUUAUUUUGUCUCUACCCUCAAACAAGCCUCCCAAACCACCACACUCUUCGGAAAAAAAAAUUAAAACUUGUUUUUAAAAAACAUUUUUUAACUUCAAUUUUUUUAAUCCACCCUUACUCCUACCCCCCAGCCCCCUACCACCACCACCACCCCUCAAAAGAAAUAUUAAAAGUUGCUUUUGAAAAAUAUUUCUAAUUUUAAUUUUUUACUUUUUUACCCCCCUAACACCUACCUUCGCCCCCCAUCAGCCCCCUACCAACCCCAUAUCCCCCUUCAAAAAAAAAUAAUUUUAAGCUUGUUUUUUAAAAAAAUAUUUUUAACUUUUAAAUUUCAUUUUUUUCACCCGUACCCUCGACUCCCCCCACGCACCCAUCCCCUACCAGCCCCCUCCACCUCAAAAAAAAAUUUAAAUUUUAUUUUUAAAAAAAUAUUUUUCAACUUCAAAUUUUUAUUUUUUCACCCCUUACCUUCGACCCCGCCACCCCUCCCCCCAAAAAAAAUUAUAUUUAUUUUUAAAAAAUAUUUUCAACUUCAAAUUUUUAUUUUUUCACCCCUUACCUUCGACCCCGCCACCCCUCCCCCCAAAAAAAAUUAUAUUUAUUUUUAAAAAAUAUUUUCAAUUUCAAAAAUUAUUUUUUACUCUAGUAAAAAUAAUAAAUAUUUUUCAUUCAUAAAUCAAACACUAAAAAAAAAUUUCAAAAAAUAUUUUUUAUUCACCAAUCAAACAUAAAAAAAAAAUCAAAAAUUUACUUAUUUUUCACAAAAAUAUUUUCAUUCGUACCAAACGCACCUAAGAGAGAAUCAACACUUCAUCAAAAUAACAAUAAUCUCGUUAAACAAAACUGCCAAGACAUUUCACAAUAAAAAUCAAAAGAAACACAAACAAGAACUAAAGCCAUGGAAAAAUAAAAAAUAAAACAGAGGGCGUUCGAGCAGCGAACCUCGCCGGAAAUAGAGUUCGUUGGUAGGACAGUGUGCUGCAUUGUAGUUUCCAGCUUGGAGCCUCAGUCUCGAUAGGGUCGGUGGCUCGUGGUUUGUUCCGCCGGAGCUCGAAGUUUUGAAACUGUUGACUUCUUCUCCGUUCGUCGGAGCUACUUGUAGAGCUCGGAGUUCCCCAUUAAUGGCGGAGCUCGAGCAAGGAGGAAGGAGGAAGUGGUGGUUGACUAUUUCGAGGCUGCUGGAUGUGGGUUCGCUGGUUGGUUUCAGGUGGUCGUUUGGAGAUUGUUUCGGUCGGAGUUAGUGGAGGGUUUUGGGUCGGGGUCUGGAGGUGAGCUUUAGGGGUCGCUUCCGGUGGUUUUUGGUGGUUAUUUCAGUUGUCUUGUUUGCCGGAGCUCAGCUCUUCAUGAAGCAGUGGUGGUGGCUGGCAGAUCUGACGAUUUCAGGUGAGCUUGAGGGUUUGUUUUUACCAUUGUUAGGUGUUAUGAAGCUGCUGGUUGGGUUUCUUUUAGCAGAAAAUAAAGCAGGGAAUCAUUUGGUGGUUUGGGGUGGUGUUUGGGUGGUUGGAAGUGGGAAAAAAAAUGAUGGAAAAUGGUGGUGUCGGAGAGCUGCUGGUGGCAGCAAAUGAGGAAGAGAAGAGAAGGGGAAAAUGGGGUCUUUGGGUGGCUGCUUCAGCUCGCUGGUUUGGAGUUGAAUCCGGUGGGGUUUCGCCGUGAAAAAAAAGAGAAAUUGAAUAGGGAUUUUGGAUUGCUGGAGUUUCGCCCGAAUUUGGGGUGGUGAUAACCGAAAAAUUAAUGAAUACUUCACCCUUUUGUUAUUUAAAAAUAUGAAAAUUUACAACCUUCAUUUAAAAAAUAAUUCAUCACCCCUUAACUUAAUGAAUAAGCUAUUGUUUAAAUAGGAAAUAGAGAACCACAAAUAUUACAAUUC